This 253-nucleotide ribosomal RNA is filed under the name uncultured bacterium. Its description in RNAcentral is "partial 16S ribosomal RNA". It matches the Rfam family "Bacterial small subunit ribosomal RNA", at positions 524 to 776 of the family's 1533-position model. The record is from RNAcentral.
UACGUAUGGUGCAAGCGUUAUCCGGAUUUACUGGGUGUAAAGGGAGCGCAGGCGGCACGGCAAGCCUGAUGUGAAAGCCCGCGGCCCAACCGCGGGACUGCAUUGGGAACUACCGGGCUGGAGUGCCGGAGAGGUAGGCGGAAUUCCUAGUGUAGCGGUGAAAUGCAUAGGUAUUAGGAGGAACACCAGUGGCGAAGGCGGCUUGCUGGACUGAAACUGACGCUGAGGCUCGAAAGCGUGGGGAGCAAACAGG